CUUUAUGAAUUCAUAAUCUAAAUGUUAUGUUAUCAUUCCUCAAAGGGACAAACAAUGGAUUCAAGUGUCAAGUCUUCAGAAUGUUGAUCGAAUACUAUGAAAAAACUGUCGAUCCCGUCCCUAGUGCAGGUACAGCAAUACUUUGCGGCUCCUAUGUUUUGAUUGGUAAAUUUUGCGUACGUCACCGGAGUGCCAGAAAAGUACCUGUACAGCAACGCCAACAGACCAGCCCCAACUAUAACUCCCGCAGCUAUGGGGAUCCAAUCUGAACGACUGCUCAUCACUUGUUCCAGAUAACAAAACAGAAUAGCAAAUGAGUUACAAUUUCAUCAUACUACUAUUAGUUAAGAGAUUUUCUUUAGUAACGAAAUUCUUUUUGUUAUUGUCUAAUAGACAGUGUCAGUGUCAGUAACAUGGACAGCACAGAUUAAAAAUAAGAUGAUUAAACUAUUUAGAAGAAUUUGGGAAUGGAUGAUUUGGAUACAAUAAGGUUAGCAUAAAAAGUGUACUAUUUUUUAUAUAAAAUCAUUUAUUUUUCCAAUAUAUUUAACCUAGUCAUGUAACAUGUAAGUAAAUAUUAAGGAGUAAUAUAUAGCUCCUGCAGCAUAUUUAAAAAUUAAUAAGUCACUUUUAAUCAAUACACAUUUAACAUGUAAUACAUUUUCAUAGAAAGUGUUUGUAUUCAUUGUACUCGGAAUUACUUAGGAGAUACUUAGCAACACUCUUGUAGUCACUUUUCAUAACCCCCAACAGGUUUGAUACUUUUACAGAAUAAUCUUUAAGAAUGUUGUUAUGUAUGUGUCCAAUUAAAUUAUAG
Danaus plexippus (monarch butterfly) is the source of this 817-nucleotide long non-coding RNA. RefSeq lists it as uncharacterized. The transcript has 2 exons. The record is from RefSeq and is a predicted model, not a curated record. Lineage: Eukaryota; Metazoa; Arthropoda; Insecta; Lepidoptera; Nymphalidae.